RNAcentral lists this non-coding RNA (97 nucleotides) under Acetomicrobium mobile. RNAcentral describes it as "Glycine sequence". It matches the Rfam family "Glycine riboswitch aptamer". Rfam says of the family: This family represents the bacterial glycine riboswitch. Glycine riboswitches usually consist of two metabolite-binding aptamers domains with similar structures in tandem. RNAcentral also lists the same sequence under 1 other name. Lineage: Bacteria; Thermotogati; Synergistota; Synergistia; Synergistales; Acetomicrobiaceae. The record is from RNAcentral.
AUGAGCGCCGCAAGAGAUAUCUCAUGCAAAGCGUGAGAAGCCGAAGGUGCAAGGGCAGUGGCCCCAAUCUCUCAGGCAAAAGGAUUGCGACGUGACG